This 1047-nucleotide long non-coding RNA is filed under the name Coturnix japonica (Japanese quail). RNAcentral describes it as "lncRNA (ENSCJPG00005020276.1)". Lineage: Eukaryota; Metazoa; Chordata; Aves; Galliformes; Phasianidae. The record is from RNAcentral.
AUGCCGCUCGUUACCCCACUGCCGCCGCCUCUGCCGCCGCCCGAGCAGUCCCGACUGAGCCCGGCAGGAUCGCUCUGCCUUUUCCGCAACAUCAUUCCAUUAAUCGCCGGGAGGCAAGAAAAGGCUCUGGGCGCCGGGGCUGCCGUGCUGCGGGGGGGGGCGAGCUCCGCCGGGGCUCCCGCACCGCUCCGACUCCAGGCUCCGCUUUACGGCUGUCCAGCGGCGGCUCUUCGCUCACCGGGAGCCCCCCGGGCCGCGCUCCGGCAUCGUGCGGCUUAUCGAUUUUUUUUAUUAUUAUUAUUAUUAAUUCUAUUUUCCCCCCCUCCUCUUUGCACUUCCCUCCCUUCCUCCGGCUGCGGGAUCCUGCGCAAAGUUCCCUUCAGGAGACGGAAUACAGCCCGGAGGAGCGGAGCUAUCGCGGGGCCGCAGCCCUGGGGGCCGCCCUCCCGCUGCCCGGGCGCUGCUCGGAGGGGCCGGAGGGGCGGCGGCUGCGCACCAUGUGCCGCCCCCGGCGCACCCGCCGCGGCCCCGCGCCGCCGGCUCGCAGGAAGCGCUGCGGAGGGUGUGGCCCGACCGGGCCGGGAGGGGAGAAAGAAAGAGAAGGGACCGUGGGAGGGGGGUUGGAAAAAAAAAAAAAAGAGGGGGAAAAAAAGAAAAAAAGAGGGAGGAAAAAUAAAAAGCAACCCGCAAAAUAAAAACAAAAAAAUUCAAAGAGCCACCGGAUCCGGGCGCUGGGGGAGGGAGGGCGGGAUCCGCUCCCCUUCCUUCUGCCGCUGCUUCACUCCUUCCUGCCUCGGUCAUUCACGCUGCCGCCCGUCGCCGCUUCAUGCCCGCCGUGCUGGGCCCCGCUCGGCGCCGCCGCCCCGCCCCGGCCGGCCCCCGCCGCGCCGCCGCCGCCGCCGCUCCAACUUAGGCUCUGCCCGCAAACAAGGGCGGGGGCUCCGCGCUCCAACCGCGGAUGCUGCAUCCCGGCCGGCCCCGAGCUCCUCCUGCCAUGUUCCGCCGCCGAUCGCCAAGUCCCGGGGAAGGAAAAAAAAUAAAGCUUAA